This 304-nucleotide long non-coding RNA is filed under the name Brassica napus (rape). RNAcentral describes it as "long non-coding RNA (BNAP_LNC016974)". Lineage: Eukaryota; Viridiplantae; Streptophyta; Magnoliopsida; Brassicales; Brassicaceae. The record is from RNAcentral.
CAUAGAAAGCGGUAACUAAAUCCCACACAUGAACGACUUAAACCCACAUCCGGGUGACUUAAACCCACAUAGGGGUGACUUAAAAAAAUAUAAAACAUAAUAACCAAACCAACACUAGCACCAUAAACGGAUAAUCAUCACAAGAGCUACAACAACACACCAAGCAGUAUUUAGAAAAGAGUAAACGCCAAUGAUAGGGAGUUACCGCUGCUGCCACUGGCUCGCCACCCGGUAACCUCCACUUCUCAUACAACCACACUUAUCGUUGCUGCCUCGCCCGCCAAACGAUAAGACUAACCCGGAG